This is a long non-coding RNA of Cephus cinctus (wheat stem sawfly), 1103 nucleotides long. RefSeq lists it as uncharacterized. The transcript has 3 exons. The record is from RefSeq and is a predicted model, not a curated record. Lineage: Eukaryota; Metazoa; Arthropoda; Insecta; Hymenoptera; Cephidae.
CGGGCGUCUCGACGCCGUCCACCUAGUCGUCGACGGCAGCGACUCGUCACGAGUUUGACCCACCGUCGGGAUCAAUAUCCCGGCCGAGCGUUAAAUCUCUAUUAGCCCUGGAAAGCAGUAGUACUGGGACCUAGUGGUGCUUCGUGGUUCACGGUAUUCACUGUGCGCUAUCCAGCCUGGAUUAGAAUUCUAAUCUUUCCCUGCUGUAGCGUUGAACGUCACUGGCAGGAGGUUCGCUAUGCGGUAACAGGUGAGCAGGAGGCCACGUUGCGCGACGGGUUAUUGGAAGCGAGUGGUCUAGUGGUAUUUCCCCACGAGACCAAAUCUGGGGGACGAUAAACCGUCACGGUACGAGGCGACCAGGACCAAGUUAGAUACGAAACCUUCAUGUACCGUAUGUAUACAUAUACUGACGUGAGAAAUGUACGUAACAAUGAAUUGGAAGUGAGUAAUGUUUUGCAUGACCCAGAAUUUAAGGAGGUCGAACGUGGAGGACGAGGUUGAUUGCAAUGCAACGGCCGUAGGGAAUUCGCGCGAACAGAUGCGCCGCACGAUUCUGGCUCCGAUGUAUCGCGUUUGCUAAUCCUCGACAUGGCUGACAGUAUAAUACACCGCUUUGCAAACAGUGGCGGGACGAGAAGCAGGAAUACCAGAAGCACCGGGAGUGCUAGGUACAUUGAUGCACAGUAGCUGUUAUAGAUUCCCAAUUCUCAUUGCCCACAUUAGGGAUCCAUCGUUGUCAUUGCAUCUGGAAUUCUGACCAUCAGGAUCCAUAUUCCAGUAUCUACAUAUAUGAGCCCAGUAAGGUACACAGAGCGAUAGAGACACGUGGUAGAACCACCCUGAGGUGAUGUUUGACGUUUCAAAAAAUUAAUCAAGUCCAAAGCUUUUUUUUUCAUUUCUGAAUAUGUUCACGAAAAUAUUAAUUUGGGGUCAGAUGACAGUCGAGACAGCUUAUCAACCCUCUUUGGAUUCAGUUUCCUCCCUAAUAAUUUUACGUACUCUCAUUCCCUUUUGAUUGUCUUGUACCCGUUUAAUCGAACUGUAAUUCUUUUUUAAAUUAAAUAUCUGCAUUAACCUUUGACUCGUCUUCCCAAUUUAUA